UCAAUUGAAACCCUGUUUUGGAGUAAGCCUGUUAUGGAUGGAUCUGCUGUUCUAUUAUUAAAAGAAAUGGAUCUAUUCCGAGUGUAACAUACGUAACACUAAAAGCCCACUUGGUGGAUGCACAUGAUUUUUUUUUUUUUUAAAUCACGGAGGAGCUGGAACUAAAUUCCGGAGAAAUUCAGAGACCUGCAGGUUUUUUUUUUUAUGGCGCAUCCUCUUAGAUAUGACAUGAUUACCUUAUUUUACUGGUUUGGAAACUGAGAUGCAGUGGGCCAGCAAAUGGCCCAAGGUGGGCUAAUCCUUGCAGGAAAGAUUCCAGAGAUGUUCAUGGCUUCCUGAAGUGAAGAAUCUGGAAACUGACCCACAGAGGGGAUGCAUCUUGUCCACCACCUCACAGCUCACUGGGGUCACGACUUAGCCUGGCACCCAGCGCCCCUGACUCUUGUGCUGGCGAUUCUGCUUCUUCCAUAUCCUACGAGGGGCUUUUGGACGGUGAGUGCUGUUCAAAGAUGGAGCAGGCUUCUGCUGGGUUUUGUCUUGGUGAGUGGUGAGACCUCCAUCAUUGGCAGUAUGGAAGACAGACUGGAUCACCUCUUGACCUCUUGGAAGGGGAUUUGAAAUUCUGUGGAGUGAUGUGGCUGUUCCCUCAUCCAUCCACCCUGGCCUGCUGAUCUUCAGAUUCUCCCAGGAGACCCUAAAAAUUCAUGGAAGGAAUGACUAUGAAUGAAUGAAAGGCUACAACCUGUACUAGGCUUAUGCUGGUCCCUCCAAAUUAGAUCCAGCCCAGCCUGCUGAGUGCUGCCCGGAGAAGGACUGUCCAAAUCAGUGCAAAAGGCACCUCUCAGCUUCCGUCAGCUUGUUCAUCCAGGAGAGGCUCCAUCUUCGAGGUCAGCUUACCCUCUGGAGAGAGAGGGAUCCCGAAUCAGAGAUGAAGCACCUUACGAGAAUGACGCCUGGAUGGAACACAAUAAGGAGAGGAAAGGGAGAGAGACAGACCUCAUCACUACAAGGUUAUUAGGCUUCAAGACUGCAAAUUUGAGAGAAUUAAGAAAUCUAAUCAGCCUGGUGCACUAAGAGGGAAGCUGCAAACUCCCGGGUGUGGAAGAAAGCCGGAGUAUCCUGAGGGAGAUCCUAAUUAAAGCACCGCCGAUUACAAUUCCUCUGAAAAAGGAAAGUGAAAGGACCAAGAAACAUCUGCUGUGGAUUCAUGAAGGACUGCUCAAGGAUGCAGAGUGUGAGAAAAACUCUUGACAGCGCUGAAGAGGCACAGCGCCUGUUUGUUCUCCAUCGGGCAAAGCUGGUGGAGAUGGGGCCUGGCAAUGCAGAGGCUGUGGUUUAGGAUUGUUUUAGCUGAUGGGGCAUCGUAAAAGGGAAAGGAGACAAGACUCCCUGUGCAGCCCAGAAUGGCCAAAUCAUCCCUGCAGUUCUCGGGUUGCCUGGCAACCCCCUCUCAAGGGUUGGCUCCGGGCCCUUUCCCUGCUAUAUCCCUAAAAAGAAGUUUAGACCUGACUCACGUAAGUGCUCAGAUUUCCUAGAUGUACCCUUGGAAUUGCUGAGCUGGAAGAGAACUCAGAAGUCGUACAACCCAAUCUCCCACAAAUAUAGAAACAGAAAAUGUAAAAGCCCAGAGCCACACCCAUGGAGGUGUAGCUGAAGGCCUAUGCCAUCGCCACAGCAACGCUGGAUCUGAGCUGCAUCUGCAGUCGAUGCCUCAGCUUGUGAAAACAUGGGAUCCUAAACCCACUGGACGAGGGCGAGGAUUGAACCUUCAUCCUCAUGGACACUAGUUGGGUUCUUAAUCUGCUGAGCCACAAUGAGAACUGAAGAGACCCUAUCUCACAACGGAAGCCGAUAAUGAUGAGUGCUCACUUCUUCAAAUUCUCUUGUAUUUAUGGCAAGAGCAAAUGAACCCCUUUAAGGAUUUUCCUCCCUAAUGAAGAGAGAUGCCUCAGUGUCACACAGCUGCCUCUAGGUUUUUGUGGCUUCUCAAAAUUCUUCUGAAGACAGGAUGCGAAACACAUGCUCCAAGGAACCUUCUUCCCACAGAGACCCUUGAUCUGUCUUGGACACAGAGAUGAAGUGUCUGGGGAAUGUAAGCAGGGCACAGAGACGGCAUCUGGACAGUCCCUCCUCCUGGAAGGAGAAAGGCACCUCCAGUUAAUGAGGACAUGGCAGCAAGAUACUGGACACAGCACUAUUUACAAUAGUCAAAACAUGGAAACAACCCAAAUGUCCAUCGACAGGAGUGGAUCAAGAAGACGCGAUACACAUACACAAUGGAAAAUUACUCAGCCAAUUUUUUUCCAUUUCUUCGGCCACGUUUGUGUUUGCCCAUCCACACAUUCAUCCAUUCGGCAGAGAGCAUCCUGCUUAAAGGUCACAGAGAGGCUCGUGAAAAGGCUCACGGUCCAUUUGUGGAACAUGAACAGGUGGGAGCUGAGCUGUGGAAUAAUACAUUUACUGUGCUUUUGCUCCGAAUACACUGGGGAUGCUAAUCCUACAGAGGAGUAACUACAUCACAAUAAGAUGAAUGGAGUAAUGGAGUAAUGGACAUAAUGCAGGUAGCCACAAACAAACAAACAAACAAACAAAACCCAGCUGAAUGACUCAUUUGGCCUGUGGAAAAUGGAGACUCUGGGAUUAAUUCCAAGACAAGGAGACACUUAAGCUGAGACUUGAACGGAAAAAAAAAAA
This 2694-nucleotide long non-coding RNA is filed under the name Sus scrofa (pig). RNAcentral describes it as "lncRNA (ENSSSCG00055017389.1)". The record is from RNAcentral. Lineage: Eukaryota; Metazoa; Chordata; Mammalia; Artiodactyla; Suidae.